RNAcentral lists this ribosomal RNA (918 nucleotides) under uncultured organism. Its description in RNAcentral is "bacterial SSU rRNA". It matches the Rfam family "Bacterial small subunit ribosomal RNA", at positions 497 to 1416 of the family's 1533-position model. The record is from RNAcentral.
CUAACUGCGUGCCAGAAGCGUCGGUAAGACGUGGGCCCCGAGCGUUAUCCGGUGUUACUGGGCGUAAAGAGUCGUGUAGGCGGUUCGAAAAGUUACCUUUUAAGUCCCAAUGCUCAACAUUGGAACUGGAGGUAAUACUCUCGAACUAGAGUUUUCUACAGGGUGAAUGGAACUGUGGGAGGAGUAGUGAAAUGCGUUGAUCCCCACGGGAACACCAGUGGCGAAGGCGGUUCACUGGUAGAAGACUGACGCUGAGACACGAAAGCUAGGGUAUCGAAGCAGAUUAGAGACCUGCGUAGUCCUAGCCGUAAACGCAUGCUUGCUAGCUGCAUUUCCGCCCCUUCGGGGGUUAGGUGUGGCGAAGGUAACCCGUUAAGCAAGCCGCCUGGGGAUUACGGUCGCAAGACUAAAACUCAAAGGAAUUGGCGGGGAGGCACACAACCAGUGGAACAUGUGGUUUAAUUCGAAACAAACCGAAGAACCUCACCUGGGUUUGACAUGUAGCUGCUCAUCCUAUGAAAGUAGGACUCCUUCGAGGGUGCUACACAGGUGCUGCAUGGCUGUCGUCAGUUCGUUCCGUGAGGAGUGCCCUUAAGUGGGACAACGAACGCAACCCCCAUCGUAUGUUAUAUCUGUCAUACGAAACUGCCUUGCCGUUGGCGAGGAGGAAGGAGGGGCAGACGUCAAGUCUGCAUGGUCCUUAUGCCCAGGGCUACACACAUGUUACAAUGAGAAGGAACAAUGAGCAUUGCGAACUCGCGAGGGUAAGCAAAUCUCAGAAAUCUUCUCUCAGUGGGGAUUGGAGUCUGCAAUUCGACUCCAUGAACGCGGAAUUGGUAGUAAUCGCGGGUCAGCUAUACCGCGGUGAUACGUUCUUGCCUCUUGCACACACCGCCCGUCAAGCCAACAAAGUCGGGG